RNAcentral lists this ribosomal RNA (304 nucleotides) under Thalassiosira rotula. Its description in RNAcentral is "partial Bacterial small subunit ribosomal RNA". It matches the Rfam family "Bacterial small subunit ribosomal RNA", at positions 11 to 343 of the family's 1533-position model. The record is from RNAcentral. Lineage: Eukaryota; Bacillariophyta; Thalassiosirophyceae; Thalassiosirales; Thalassiosiraceae.
GUUUGAUCAUGGCUCAGAUUGAACGCUGGCGGCAGGCUUAACACAUGCAAGUCGAACGAACUCUUCGGAGUUAGUGGCAGACGGGUGAGUAACGCGUGGGAACCUACCUUUAGGUACGGAACAACAGUUGGAAACGACUGCUAAUACCGUAUGAGCCCUAUGGGGGAAAGAUUUAUCGCCUAAGGAUGGGCCCGCGUUGGAUUAGCUAGUUGGUGGGGUAAUGGCCUACCAAGGCGACGAUCCAUAGCUGGUCUGAGAGGAUGAUCAGCCACACUGGGACUGAGACACGGCCCAGACUCCUACG